Molecule: ribosomal RNA, 253 nt
Filed under: uncultured bacterium
Lineage: Bacteria
Description: partial 16S ribosomal RNA
Rfam family: Bacterial small subunit ribosomal RNA
Source: RNAcentral
UACGUAGGGCGCAAGCGUUGUCCGGAAUUAUUGGGCGUAAAGAGCUCGUAGGCGGUGUGUCGCGUCUGCCGUGAAAGCCCGGGGCUUAACUCCGGGUCUGCGGUGGAUACGGGCAGACUAGAGGCAGGUAGGGGAGAACGGAAUUCCCGGUGUAGCGGUGAAAUGCGCAGAUAUCGGGAGGAACACCGGUGGCGAAGGCGGUUCUCUGGAACGCAACUGACGCUGAGACGCGAAAGCGUGGGGAGCAAACAGG